This is a long non-coding RNA of Lemur catta (Ring-tailed lemur), 101 nucleotides long. RefSeq lists it as uncharacterized. The record is from RefSeq and is a predicted model, not a curated record. The transcript is spliced from 3 exons. NCBI's taxonomy places the organism in Eukaryota, Metazoa, Chordata, Mammalia, Primates, Lemuridae.
CCUCAGGAGUCAAGACAGAGAAGUGGACAUACAACAUCCGGUAUCCCUCCAGUGAUGAGGAGGAAGACUCCGCAGGCCACCUUUUAAUGAUCCUAGCUCUG